CUGCUGCCUCCCGUAGGAGUUUGGACCGUGUCUCAGUUCCAAUGUGGGGGACCUUCCUCUCAGAACCCCUAUCCAUCGAUGCCUUGGUGGGCCGUUACCCCGCCAACAAGCUAAUGGAACGCAUCCCCAUCGAUGACCGAAAUUCUUUAAUAGUUCUACCAUGCGGAAGAACUAUGCCAUCGGGUAUUAAUCUUUCUUUCGAAAGGCUAUCCCCGAGUCAUCGGCAGGUUGGAUACGUGUUACUCAACCGUGCGCCGGUCGCCAU
Molecule: ribosomal RNA, 265 nt
Filed under: uncultured bacterium
Lineage: Bacteria
Description: partial 16S ribosomal RNA
Source: RNAcentral